This 345-nucleotide unclassified non-coding RNA is filed under the name soil metagenome. RNAcentral's name for it is "partial contains 5.8S ribosomal RNA, internal transcribed spacer 2, and large subunit ribosomal RNA". The stretch from base 1 to 119 matches the Rfam family "5.8S ribosomal RNA", at positions 35 to 154 of the family's 154-position model. The record is from RNAcentral.
GAUGAAGAACGUAGCGAAAUGCGAUACGUAAUGUGAAUUGCAAAUUCAGUGAAUCAUCGAGUCUUUGAACGCACAUUGCGCCCCCUGGUAUUCCGGGGGGCAUGCCUGUCCGAGCGUCAUUGCUGCCCUCAAGCACGGCUUGUGUGUUGGGCCCCGUCCUCCGAUCCCGGGGGACGGGCCCGAAAGGCAGCGGCGGCACCGCGUCCGGUCCUCGAGCGUAUGGGGCUUUGUCACCCGCUCUGUAGGCCCGGCCGGCGCUUGCCGAUCAACCCAAAUUUUUAUCCAGGUUGACCUCGGAUCAGGUAGGGAUACCCGCUGAACUUAAGCAUAUCAAUCAGCGGAGGA